AUCUUUUUCCGGUUCAUAAGCAUGAUUGGGUGUUCACACAUUUGUGUGUCAUGUGCCUCCCUUAAAUCUUGUUAUGCAUUUGGCACAUUACCCAUCUGAUU
Molecule: small nucleolar RNA, 101 nt
Organism: Sorex fumeus (smoky shrew)
Lineage: Eukaryota; Metazoa; Chordata; Mammalia; Eulipotyphla; Soricidae
Product: small nucleolar RNA U13
Exons: 1
Source: RefSeq, a predicted model, not a curated record